GAGCAACGCGGGAUCCGAAGUUCUUUACAGCCGCCCGGCCGGAGUGGGUUUUCAUGCCUCUGCUUUCCGUUUGUUUUCCGGCCCUUCCCCCGAGGCUGGAGCGUGGACAGCGGAGGGCGCCGCAACAAAGGCCUUCUAGAUUAAAAGGACACCUUGCCCAGACUUUGCCUGUAGAAUUCAUCACUUCCAGCCGGGUGACUUGGUGUUAAUCAAACCCUGGAAAGAAGACAAACUCCAACCAAGCUGGAAAGGCCCUUGUCAAGUGCUCCUGACCACUGAGACGGCUGUGUGGACUGCUGGAAAAGGUUGUACUCAUUAUACACGAGUCAAGGGGCCAAUAAAAGAGACCUCAAAGGGAAGGGAAAGGACCAAUGAGCAGCCUUUAAAGGGUCUUUUCCAAUGAGCUGGCUCUUCACAUCAGAUGGCGAAAGUAUUGGUGCUUCAGCUUCAGUCUUUCCAAGCCUGCUACUUUCUUGCUGUGGCCUCCAAACCAGCAUUAGCAUCACCAGGAAAUUUGUUGAAAAUACAGACUCCCAGGUUCCGACCUAGACCUGAAUCAGAAUCUGCAUUUUAGCAAGAUGCUCACUUGCUAGCUUGGAUUUUGCCUCCAGGCUGCAGGCACAGGCCACAGAGGUUGGCUAGAAAUUCUUCAGGAAUAGCUAGAAUGCCAGUGCAGGAAAGGACACCAGGGGUCAUCAGGCCUGUCUGCAGUGCACAGACUUAGUUUUCCUAUGCCUUAUUGGUACCACUAUGGGCUUCCCUAGUGACUCAAUGGUAAAGAAUCCGCCUGAUAAUGCAGGAGGUGCGGGUUUAAUCCCUGUGUUGGGAAGAACCCCUGGAGGAGGAAAUGGCAACCCACUCCGGUAUCCUUGCCUGGGAAAUCUCGUGGACAGAGGAGCCUGGCAGGCUACAGUCCCUGGAGUUGCAAAAAGAGUCAGGCACGACUUAGCAACUAAAGAACAACAAUCACUAUAUUCAUUACACUUUGUUAUCUGUAACUUCUCUUGGCUAAGUGUUCUUGGCUGUUGCCAUGUCUCUGAACCCUCUGACCUGUAAUGAACUUAAUACUUUAUGUGCCUUUUAUUAGUUGAAGUUGACAUUAGAUACUGUAUAUCACCGCUUCAGAGAGAAAACCACUGAGCCAUAGCUGUAAAAAUAAACAUGAAAACAAAACAGUGUUUUAUAAUUCUGGGUGGAUAUUGUUGCCUGCCAAGGUGCUGAGCCCCAAGCCUGCUUUUUUUUUUUUUUAAUGUAAAGAGAUUAGCAAAGUAUUAGAGGGCUAUUAAAGGCAUAUUAUCACUCAGCUGAAACUUCUUGACACAGUGAGAAGGAAUGAAAGAACUGAAAAUGAGGUAACUCUAAUCCAUGAGAUUCUGUGUCAUUUAAUGCCCUGUCUGCAUACCUCCAAAAGUCAACUUCAUGGACCACAUCCAUCCCACGCUUUGGGAGACUCCCAGCAACAUGUCAUCACUGGCUAAAUAUAAUCCAGUUGUGGUUUCUCAAGCGACGUUAAACCCAUCACCCUGAUGUUCUGCACGCUCAGUUGUCUGACUCUUUGCGACCCCAUAGACUGCAGCCUGCCAGGCUCCUCAGUCCAUGGAAUUCACCAGACAAGAAUACUGGAGUGGGUUGCCACGUCCUCCUCCAGGGGAUCUCCCUGACCCAGGGACUGAACCCAUGUCUCCUUCAUUGGCAGGUAGCGUCUUUACUGAGCUACCGGGGAAGCCCCAUCAGUCCGAUGAGCCAACUAAAUUCCCCUCGGUUUCACAGUUUUCAUCCCAGUGGCCAUGGCUGGCUUUGUCACGUCCCUUAGACCUUCCUCUGCUUUCUUUAUCUGGUCUCCUGUAACCCAUUCAC
Dama dama (fallow deer) is the source of this 1857-nucleotide long non-coding RNA. RefSeq lists it as uncharacterized. Lineage: Eukaryota; Metazoa; Chordata; Mammalia; Artiodactyla; Cervidae. The record is from RefSeq and is a predicted model, not a curated record. The transcript has 4 exons.